UGCGCGCGCAGAGCGCCUGCGAGCGGCGUCACCGCGGGAGAUGCAGCGCCUGGGCGGUCUCUGGCUCUUAUGGCGGCGGCCUCCGGCGGCAGGGGUCGCGGCAAAGGGCCUCGGUCUCAGGGAGGUCGCCUCCGGCGUCUCUCCCCCGGGCAGCACCUCGCCCAGAGCCCUAAAUAUCUUCGACCGAGAUUUGAAGAGAAAACAGAAGAACUGGGCGGCCCGGCAGCCUGAGCCGAUGAGGUUUGACUACCUGAAGGAGGAGGUUGGAAGUCAGAUUGCAGAUCGUGUGUAUGACAUAACCAGGAAUUUUUCCCUUGCUUUGGAUGUUGGUUGUGGAAGAGGUUACAUAGCACAACAUUUGAAUAAGGAAACUGUUGGGAAGUUUUUCCAAGUAGACAUUGCAGAAAAUGCUUUGAAAAAUACCUUAGAAAUGGAAAUUCCUACUGUCAGUGUUUUAGCUGAUGAAGAGUUCCUUCCCUUCAAAGAAAAUACAUUUGACCUGGUGGUUAGCAGUUUAAGUUUACACUGGGUGAAUGACCUUCCUAGAGCACUUGAACAGAUUCAUUAUGUUUUAAAACCAGAUGGAGUAUUUAUUGGUGCAAUGUUUGGAGGUGACACACUCUAUGAACUUCGGUGUUCAUUACAGUUAGCAGAAACAGAAAGGGAAGGAGGAUUUUCUCCACACGUUUCUCCUUUCACUGCUGUCAAUGACUUAGGACAUCUGCUUGGGAGAGCUGGCUUUAAUACACUGACUGUGGAUACUGAUGAAAUUCAAGUUAAUUAUCCUGGGAUGUUUGAAUUGAUGGAAGAUUUGCAAGAAAAAGUCCAGAAUGUUGACCUAAUUUUACAAAACAAGUUGCAUAUCAGCUGAUGAAUACAUGAAAAGUUUUGGAGGCUUUCACAGUAGUUUUAAGGCAUGGGCGAGAGUAACUGUGCUUGGAAUAGAAAAGCCCUGCUGCACCGAGACACGAUGCUGGCGGCGGCGGCGGUGUACAGAGAAAUGUACAGAAAUGAGGAUGGUUCAGUACCUGCCACAUAUCAAAUCUAUUACAUGAUAGGAUGGAAAUACCAUGAUUCACAGGCAAGACCAGCUGAAAGAGGUUCAGCAACUGUGUCAUUUGGAGAGCUGGGAAAAAUAAACAAUCUUAUGUCACAGGGGAAGAAGUCUCAAUAAAUAUUUCAUUCAA
Canis lupus familiaris (dog) is the source of this 1187-nucleotide RNA transcript. It is a transcript of the gene named NADH:ubiquinone oxidoreductase complex assembly factor 5, with no coding region annotated. Lineage: Eukaryota; Metazoa; Chordata; Mammalia; Carnivora; Canidae. The record is from RefSeq and is a predicted model, not a curated record. The transcript is spliced from 12 exons.